Molecule: long non-coding RNA, 375 nt
Filed under: Capsicum annuum
Lineage: Eukaryota; Viridiplantae; Streptophyta; Magnoliopsida; Solanales; Solanaceae
Description: long non-coding RNA (CANN_LNC013415)
Source: RNAcentral
CCUUCUCGGUCACUUUCUCCGCCGGAGCUGCAGGUUCACCUUCUUUCUUCUCUUCCACCACAGGUGCAGCUUCUUUCUUCUCUUCCACCACAGGUUCAGCUUCUUUCUUCUCUUCCACCACAGGUUCAGCUUCUUUCUUCACUUCCACCACAGGUACAGCUUCUUUCUUCUCAACAGGUUCAGCUUCUUUCUUCGAUUCCACCACAGGUACAGUUUCUUUCUUCUCCUCCACCACAGGUUCAGCUUCUUUCUUCUCUUCCACCACAAGUGCAGUUUCUUUCUUCUCUUCGACCACAGGUGCAGUGAAUUCAUGUUUGUUCAGAGCAUCUCGAACCAAUUCCUUCAACUCAGCUAAAGCCUUCUGUUCAGGAUUUG